Molecule: ribosomal RNA, 442 nt
Filed under: uncultured bacterium
Lineage: Bacteria
Description: bacterial SSU rRNA
Rfam family: Bacterial small subunit ribosomal RNA
Source: RNAcentral
GAUGAACGCUGGCGGCGUGCCUAACACAUGCAAGUCGAACGAAGACAUACCGACGGAAUCCUUCGGGAGGAAGAUGGUAUGGACUGAGUGGCGGACGGGUGAGUAACGCGUGGGUAACCUGCCCUGUACAGGGGGACAACAGUUAGAAAUGACUGCUAAUACCGCAUGAGCGCACAGUACCGCAUGGUACAGUGCGAAAAACUCCGGUGGUACAGGAUGGGCCCGCGUCUGAUUAGUUAGUUGGCGGGGUAACGGCCCACCAAGACGACGAUCAGUAGCCGGCUUGAGAGAGUGAACGGCCACAUUGGGACUGAGACACGGCCCAAACUCCUACGGGAGGCAGCAGUGGGGAAUAUUGCACAAUGGGGGAAACCCUGAUGCAGCAACGCCGCGUGAGUGAAGAAGUAUUUCGGUAUGUAAAGCUCUAUCAGCAGGGAAGAAA